Molecule: transfer RNA, 66 nt
Filed under: Priassus spiniger
Lineage: Eukaryota; Metazoa; Arthropoda; Insecta; Hemiptera; Pentatomidae
Description: tRNA-Gly
Source: RNAcentral
ACCCUUUUAGUAUAAAAAAUAUAAUUGAUUUCCAAUCAAAAGAUCUUAAUAAUUUAAGAAAAGGUA